RNAcentral lists this transfer RNA (71 nucleotides) under bacterium SM23_31. RNAcentral's name for it is "tRNA-Gln". It matches the Rfam family "tRNA". From Rfam's summary of the family: Transfer RNA (tRNA) molecules are approximately 80 nucleotides in length. The record is from RNAcentral. RNAcentral also lists the same sequence under 1 other name.
UGGGGUGUCGUCCAAUGGCAGGGCACACGGCUCUGGACCGUGGGAUCGGGGUUCGAAUCCCUGCACCCCAG